This 479-nucleotide ribosomal RNA is filed under the name uncultured bacterium. Its description in RNAcentral is "bacterial SSU rRNA". It matches the Rfam family "Bacterial small subunit ribosomal RNA", at positions 28 to 524 of the family's 1533-position model. The record is from RNAcentral.
GAUGAACGCUGGCGGCGUGCCUAAUACAUGCAAGUCGAGCGGAGAAUUUAGCAAUAGAUUCUUAGCGGCGAACGGGUGAGUAACGCGUUGGUGACCUGCCUCGAAGUUUGGGAUAACAGUUCGAAAGGACUGCUAAUACCGGAUGUGAUCACGAAGAUUAGAGGCUUUGUGAUUAAAGGAGAAAUUCGCUUCGAGAGGGGCCUGCGUCCCAUCAGCUAGUUGGUAAGGUAAAGGCUUACCAAGGCGAUGACGGGUAGGGGACCUGAGAGGGUGGCCCCCCCACAAUGGAACUGAAACACGGUCCAUACACCUACGGGUGGCAGCAGUAGGGAAUAUUGCAUAAUGGGCGAAAGCCUGAUGCAGCAACGCCGCGUGUGCGAUGAAGGCCUUCGGGUCGUAAAGCACUUUUGGAGGGGAUGAGGAAGGACAGUACCCUCCGAAUAAGCUUCGGCUAACUACGUGCCAGCAGCCGCGGUAAU